This 55-nucleotide microRNA precursor is filed under the name Euprymna scolopes. RNAcentral's name for it is "Esc-Mir-12513_pre stem-loop". Lineage: Eukaryota; Metazoa; Mollusca; Cephalopoda; Sepiida; Sepiolidae. The record is from RNAcentral.
UCCGAUUGUUCUCAGUCCGACUCUGAGUUAAUAGUCGCACUUGAAAAAUCGGUGU